RNAcentral lists this ribosomal RNA (492 nucleotides) under uncultured bacterium. Its description in RNAcentral is "partial 16S ribosomal RNA". It matches the Rfam family "Bacterial small subunit ribosomal RNA", at positions 29 to 507 of the family's 1533-position model. The record is from RNAcentral.
AGUGAACGCUGGCGGUAGGCCUAACACAUGCAAGUCGAACGGCAGCACAGUAAGAGCUUGCUCUUACGGGUGGCGAGUGGCGGACAGGUGAGGAAUACAUCGGAAUCUACUUUUUCGUGGGGGAUAACGUAGGGAAACUUACGCUAAUACCGCAUACGACCUACGGGUGAAAGCAGGGGAUCUUCGGACCUUUCGCGAUUGAAUGAGCCGAUGUCGGAUUAGCUAGUUGGCGGGGUAAAGGCCCACCAAGGCAACGAUCCGUAGCUGGUCUGAGAGGAUGAUCAGCCACACUGGAACUGAGACACGGUCCAGACUCCUACGGGAGGCAGCAGUGGGGAAUAUUGGACAAAGGGCGCAAGCCUGAUCCAGCCAUACCGCGUGGGUGAAGAAGGCCUUCGGGUUGUAAAGCCCUUUUGUUGGGAAAGAAAAGCAGCAGGUUAAUACCCCGCUGUUCUGACGGUACCCAAAGAAUAAGCACCGGCUAACUUCGUG